UAGCUUGGGAAUCUGGCUUAUGGAGGGGGAUAACUACGGGAAACUGUAGCUAAUACCGCGUAGGAUCGGAAGAUGAAAGUGCGGGACCGCAAGGCCGCAUGCCAUGAGAUGAGCCCAAGUGGGAUUAGGUAGUUGGUGGGGUAAAGGCCUACCAAGCCUGCGAUCUCUAGCUGGUCUGAGAGGAUGGCCAGCCACACUGGAACUGAGACACGGUCCAG
Molecule: ribosomal RNA, 218 nt
Filed under: uncultured bacterium
Lineage: Bacteria
Description: partial 16S ribosomal RNA
Rfam family: Bacterial small subunit ribosomal RNA
Source: RNAcentral